This 447-nucleotide ribosomal RNA is filed under the name uncultured bacterium. RNAcentral describes it as "partial 16S ribosomal RNA". It matches the Rfam family "Bacterial small subunit ribosomal RNA", at positions 29 to 523 of the family's 1533-position model. The record is from RNAcentral.
AGCGAACGCUGGCGGCAGGCCUAACACAUGCAAGUCGAACGGUCCUUCGGGAUAGUGGCGGACGGGUGAGUAACACGUGGGAACGUACCCGUCGUUUCGGAACAAGACGUGGAAACUUGUGCUAAUACCGGAUAAGCCCUUCGGGGGGAAGAUUUAUCGCCGUUGGAGCGGCCCGCGUCUGAUUAGCUUGUUGGGGAGGUAAUGGCUCACCAAGGCGACGAUCAGUAGCUGGUCUGAGAGGAUGGCCCGCCACACUGGGACGGAGACACGGCCCAGACUCCUACGGGAGGCAGCAGUGGGGAAUCUUGCGCAAUGGGCGAAAGCCUGACGCAGCCAUGCCGCGUGGAUGAUGAAGGUCUUAGGAUUGUAAAAUCCUUUCACCGGGGACGAUAAUGACGGUACCCGGAGAAGAAGCCCCGGCUAACUUCGUGCCAGCCGCCGCCGUAA